GAUGAAGAACGUAGCGAAAUGCGAUAAGUAAUGCGAAUUGCAGAAUUCCAGUGAGUCAUCGAAUCUUUGAACGCACAUUGCGCCCCUUGGCAUUCCGAAGGGCAUGCCUGUUCGAGCGUCAUGAUCAAAUCUCAAGCCUUGCUUGGUAUUGGGUUUUCGUCUCUCUCCCGUCUUUGUUACGGGUAUUGACGUGCCUGAAAAUCAAUGGCAGUGCCUUAUUAGACUCAAGCGUAGCAGACUGACACGCUUUAGAGAACUUUUGAAGGUUCUGUCAAUAAAAUAAUAAGUUGGACCUCGGAUCAGGUAGGGAUACCCGCUGAACUUAAGCAUAUCAAUAAGCGGAGGA
This 346-nucleotide unclassified non-coding RNA is filed under the name soil metagenome. RNAcentral's name for it is "partial contains 5.8S ribosomal RNA, internal transcribed spacer 2, and large subunit ribosomal RNA". The stretch from base 1 to 121 matches the Rfam family "5.8S ribosomal RNA", at positions 35 to 154 of the family's 154-position model. The record is from RNAcentral.